UACGGGGGGGGCAAGCGUUGUUCGGAAUUACUGGGCGUAAAGGGCUCGUAGGCGGCCAACUAAGUCAGACGUGAAAUCCCUCAGCUUAACUGGGGAACUGCGUCUGAUACUGGAUGGCUUGGAUUCGGGAGAGGAAUGCGGAAUUCCAGGUGUAGCGGUGAAAUGCGUAGAUAUCUGGAGGAACACCGGUGGCGAAGGCGGCAUUCUGGACCGAUAUUGACGCUGAGGUGCGAAAGCGUGGGGAGCGAACAGG
Molecule: ribosomal RNA, 253 nt
Filed under: uncultured bacterium
Lineage: Bacteria
Description: partial 16S ribosomal RNA
Rfam family: Bacterial small subunit ribosomal RNA
Source: RNAcentral